CCUCCAAAUUGGGCAAAGUGAGCCCUCGCAGCUUCCUCCUUCUUCCCCUCCGCUUGUCCCUUCGCCCACCAGCCGCCAGCCGCUGCCGGAGCGUCCACCGGUCUGCCGCCAUCGACCUCAGCGCCGGCGGUCUCAUGGUUGCCCGCUGGGGCGACAAAUCGGCCACCCCCUUCAUCUCCUUCUCUGCCAAUCGCCGACCUCCCCUUCGCCGUCUGGUUUUCGAUUAAGUUUGUGGCCGUCUUCCCACCACUCCGGGUAGCCGAUCACUUGAAAGCAGGUUGGGUGAUUGAUCGUCUCUGGUUUUGACGUUUGCCAGAUUUUGGUCGAAGGUUUGGGAAAGGUAUUGGAACGAUGAUGAGACUUUUCUGAGUUCCAACAAUCGUUUUUUAUUUUUGGAUUUAGGAUCGAACUCUUGCUCGUGAUACCAUAUUGAAUUGUAUUGGGGAAAAUGUAUCAAUUGUAUUGAAUGAAUAAUUACGUUUAUAGUGAUCACCAUUUAUAAAGAGGAUGAAGUAGUGAGCAAGAAAUACACACUAUACACCUAAAAAUAUACACACUCUAUAUGGAAAUAAAACUCUAUAUGGAAAUAGGUCUUUGCAAGAUGGUUCACAUGUGGGAAAAGCAUUCCCAAUUAUUUUGACACAUACUUUGAUUAUCACUUCCAAAAUAAUUACAGUAAAGUGAAAUGGAUUAAUUUACACUAACGAACCGAAUAACCUCAUAAUCACCCAGGCAGAAAAGUUUCACAAAAUGUGAGCAGCAAGAGGCGUGAUCACUUUGGUCCCCUGGCGCAUGAAUUUGCAUAGCCGCAAUACCGUUGUUUAUAGUUCUUAUUGAUUCUACCAUAGCAGUUGUUCAUGUAAGGUUUUAUUUCCGGUUGCGCAGAAGGAUCUCGACGGCAAAAUAGCCCCAGUAGUAAGUGAGUUGGUCUGCUGCAGAACCCUUCUCGCUGCUUCAGUAUCCAUCGAGAAUUCCUCGGCCUCAAGCGUGUUGUCGGUGAUUCUGAAGCAUUCGCUAUUUUGCACUUGUGUGGUGAGGAGGAGCAGAGAUACAGCUGCCAUUGCUGCCAAAAGGAGAGAAACUGUAGUAUUUGCUAGUGGACGAGUUUGUUUACAGCAUUUUUUGGAAAUUUUGUUGAUAAGGAUUAGGAACGGAUGGCUAUUAGUAAGGCUCUUAAGUCUUGGUCUUUGUUGGCUAAAUUAA
This is a long non-coding RNA of Salvia splendens (bonfire salvia), 1203 nucleotides long. RefSeq lists it as uncharacterized. The record is from RefSeq and is a predicted model, not a curated record. NCBI's taxonomy places the organism in Eukaryota, Viridiplantae, Streptophyta, Magnoliopsida, Lamiales, Lamiaceae. The transcript has 2 exons.